Molecule: ribosomal RNA, 106 nt
Filed under: Paenibacillus sp. OK060
Lineage: Bacteria; Bacillati; Bacillota; Bacilli; Caryophanales; Paenibacillaceae
Source: RNAcentral
UUUGGUGGCGAUGGCGGAGGGGUUCCACACGUACACGACCGUUAAGCCCUCUAGCGCCGAUGGUACUUGGACCGCAGGGCCCUGGGAGAAUAGGACGCCGCCAAGC